UUCGCAAUGCCCGAAAGGGUGACGAAGCGACGCCGCGUGUGGGAAGAAGGCCUUCGGGUUGUAAACCACUGUCGGGAGUUAAGAAAUGCAAGGAUAUGAAUAGUGUCUUUGCUUGACUAAGGCUCCGGAGGAAGCCACGGCUAACUCUGUGCCAGCAGCCGCGGUAAUACAGAGGCGGCAAGCGUUGUUCGGAAUUAUUGGGCGUAAAGAGCACGUAGGCGGCUAUGUAAGUCGGUUGUGAAAGCCUUCCGCUCAACGGAAGAACAGCAUCCGAUACUACAUGGCUUGAGUGCGGGAGGGGAGAGCGGAACUUCUGGUGGAGCGGUGAAAUGCGUAGAUAUCAGAAGGAACGCCGGCGGCGAAAGCGGCUCUCUGGCCCAUAACUGACGCUGAGUGUGCGAAAGCUAGGGGAGCAAACGGGAUUAGAUACCCCGGUAGUCCUAGCCGUAAACGAUGGGCACUAAGUAGAGGGGUUUU
RNAcentral lists this ribosomal RNA (477 nucleotides) under uncultured bacterium. RNAcentral's name for it is "bacterial SSU rRNA". It matches the Rfam family "Bacterial small subunit ribosomal RNA", at positions 365 to 832 of the family's 1533-position model. The record is from RNAcentral.